ACUAUUAUUUAUAUUCCCCAAAUGAAUGAGAACAUAUAAUGUUUGUCCUUCUCCGACUGACUUACUUCACUCAGCAUAAUACCCUCCAGUUCCAUCCACGUUGAAGCAAAUGGUGGGUAUUUGUCAUUUCUAAUAGCUGAGUAAUAUUCCAUUGUAUACAUAAACCACAUCUUCUUUAUCCAUUCAUCUUUCGUUGGACACCGAGGCUCCUUCCACAGUUUGGCUAUCGUGGCCAUUGCUGCUAGAAACAUCGGGGUGCAGGUGUCCCGGCGUUUCAUUGCAUUUGUAUCUUUGGGGUAAAUCCCCAACAGUGCAAUGCUGGGUCGUAGGGCAGGUAUAUUUUUAACUCUUUGAGGAACCUCCACACUGUCUUCCAGAGUGGCUGCACCAGUUCACAUUCCCACCAACAGUGUAAGAGGGUUCCCUUUUCUCCGCAUCCUCUCCAACAUUUGUUGUUUCCUGCCUUGUUAAUUUUCCCCAUUCUCACUGGUGUGAGGUGGUAUCUCAUUGUAGUUUUGAUUUGUUUUUCCCUGAUGGCAAGUGAUGCAGAGCAUUUUCUCAUAUGCAUGUUGGCCAUGUCUAUGUCUUCCUCUGUGAGUUUUUCUCUUCAUGUUUUUUUGCCCAUUUCAUGAUUGGAUUGUUUGUUCUUUGGUGUUGAGUUUAAUAAGUUCUUUAUAGAUCUUGGAAACUAGCCCUUUAUCUGAUAUGUCAUUUGCAAAUAUCUUCUCCCAUUCUGUAGGUUGUCUUUGAGUUUUGUUGACUGUAUCCUUUGCUGUGCAAAAGCUCUUAUCUUGAUGAAGUCCCAAGUUCAUUUUUGCUUUUGUUUCUUUUGCCUUCGUGGAUGUAUCUUGCAAGAAGUUACUAUGUCCGAGUUCAAAAAGGGUGUUGCCUGUGUUCUCCUCUAGGAUUUUGAUGGAAUCUUGUCUCACAUUUAGAUCUUUCAUCCAUUUUGAGUUUAUCUUUGUGUAUGGUGAAAGAGAGUGGUCUAGUUUCAUUCUUCUGCAUGUGGAUGUCCAAUUUUCCCAGCACCAUUUAUUGAAGAGACUGUCUUUCUUCCAAUGGAUAGUCUUUCCUCCUUUAUCGAUAUUAGUUGCCCAUAAGUUCAGGGUCCACUUCUGGAUUCUCUAUUCUGUUCCACUGAUCUAUGUGUCUGUUUUUGUGCCAGUACCACACUGUCUUGAUGACCACAGCUUUGUAGUACAACCUGAAAUCUGGCAUUGUGAUGCCCCAGAUAUGGUUUUCUUUUUUAAAAUUCCCCUGGCUAUUCGGGGUCUUUUCUGAUUCCACACAAAUCUUAAAAUAAUUUGUUCUAACUCUCUGAAGAAAGUCCAUGGUAUUUUGAUAGGGAUUGCAUUAAACGUGUAUAUUGCCCUGGGUAACAUUGACAUUUUCACAAUAUUAAUUCUGCCAAUCCAUGAGCAUGGAAUAUUUUUCCAUCUCUUUGUGUCUUCCUCAAUUUCUUUCAGAAGUGUUCUAUAGUUUUGAGGGUAUAGAUCCUUUACAUCUUUGGUGAGGUUUAUUCCUAGGUAUCUUAUGCUUUUGGGUGCAAUUGUAAAUGGGAUGACUCCUUAAUUUCUCUUUCUUCAGUCUCAUUGUUAGUGUAUAGAAAUGCCACUGACUUCUGGGCAUUGAUUUUGUAUCCUGCCGCUACCGAAUUGCUGUAUGAGUUCUAGCAAUCUUGGGGUGGAGACUUUUGGUUUUCUAUGUAGAGUAUCAUGUCCUCGGCAAAGAGGGAGAGUUUGACUUCUUCUUUGCCAAUUUGAAUGCCUUUAAUGUCUUUUUGUUGUCUGAUUGCUGAGGCUAGGACUUCCAGUACUAUGUUGAAUAGCAGUGGUGAGAGUGGACAUCCCUGUCUUGUUCCUGAUCUUAGGGGAAAGGCUCCCAGUGCUUCCCAUUGAGAAUGAUAUUUGCUGUGGGCUUUUCAUAGAUGGCUUUAAGAUGUCGAGGAAUGUUCCCUCUAUCCCUACACUCUGAAGAGUUUUGAUCAGGAAUGGAUGCUGUAUUUUGUCAAAUGCUUUCUCUGCAUCCAAUGAGAGGAUCAUAUGGUUCUUGGUUUUCUCUUGCUGAUAUGAUGAAUCACAUUGAUUGUUUUACGGGUGUUGAACCAGCCUUGUGUCCCAGGGAUAAAUCCUACUUGGUCAUGGUGAAUAAUUUUCUUAAUGUACUGUUGGAUCCUAUUGGCCAGUAUCUUGUUGAGAAUUUUUGCAUCCAUGUUCAUCAGGGAUAUUGGUCUGUAAUUCUCCUUUUUGGCGGGGUCUUUGUCUGGCUUUGGAAUUAAGGUGAUGCUGGCUUCAUAGAACGAAUUUGGAAGUACUCCAUCUCUUUCUAUCUUUCCAAACAGCUUUAGGAGAAUAGGUAUGAUUUCUUCUUUAAACGUUUGAUAAAAUUCUCCUGGGAAGCCAUCUGGCCCUGGACUCUUGUGUCUUGGGAGGUUUUUGAUGACUGCUUCAAUUUCCCUCCUGGUUAUUGGCCUGUUCAGGUUUUCUAUUUCUUCCUGUUCCAGUUUUGGUAGUUUGUGGCUUUCCAGGAAUGCGUCCAUUUCUUCAAGAUUGCCUAAUUUAUUGGCGUAUAGCUGUUCAUAAUAUGUUUUUAAAAUCGUUUGUAUUUCCUUGGUGUUGGUAGUGAUCUCUCCUUUCUCAUUCAUGAUUUUAUUAAUUUGAGUCUUCUCUCUCUUCUUUUUAAUAAGGCUGGCUAAUGGUUUAUCUAUCUUAUUAAUUCUUUCAAAGAACCAACUCCUGGUUCUUGUUGAUCUGUUCCACAGUUCUUCUGGUCUCGAUUUCGUUGAGUUCUGCUCGAAUCUUUAUUAACUCCCUUCUUCUCUUGGGUGUAGGAUCUAUUGCUGUUUUUUCUCUAGCUCCUUUAUGUGUAAGGUUAGCUUUUGUAUUUGAGUUCUUUCCAGUUUUUGAAUGGAUGCUUGUAUUGCGAUGUAUUUCCCCCUUAG
Molecule: long non-coding RNA, 2941 nt
Filed under: Canis lupus familiaris (dog)
Lineage: Eukaryota; Metazoa; Chordata; Mammalia; Carnivora; Canidae
Description: lncRNA (ENSCAFG00000058907.1)
Source: RNAcentral